AGCAAUUGGAACGGGCAGUUUUUAAGGCUGCACUGAGUAUAAGCUCAACUCUUCUGGAGGCCAAGAAACUUGCUAUUAUCAUGACACAUUUUCAUCAAUGAUUCCUGUCAUGGUGGAUUCUUAUUUUGCUCCUGCUGCAUUUCCAGAGGUGGUCAUACUUACCUAAAAUAGCUGGCACGUUUGUAUCUGUGAGAAGCUGAACUCAGCCUGCUCUGCUUGAACAGAUGAAUUGAAGACAGAUUUUUCUCUUUACCCAACCCCAUUAUAGAUGCAUUUCUCCUGGAGAAUCAACUCUCACAGCAGUGUGAAACCAGUUAACAUUAGCAAGCCACUUCCUCAUUUCACAAAAUACUGCUGCUUUUCUGUUGUCCUGGAUCAUUCUCACUCCCCUGUCAGUCAGGUGAGUGGCUUAGCAGGAAGGGCCAAACUUGUGCCUCAUCCUUGCGAGCUGUGCAUCUGCCCUGUGACACAGCCCUCCCCUGGUGCAGCUGUGCAGCCAGACCUGUCACAUGGAGGUACCAUGCUGCUGGCUGUCACCCCUCCAGGGCUAUUCUGCGCACCAUUUUGCUCCUGGAAGUCCUGGAUAAUUGUAUCACAGCUAUGGGAGUCUGGCACUUUCUUACAGAGAACACAACUGGAAGCGGAGCUAAUGGUGAUCUUCAGAGCAACAUGUUUGGUCCAAAACUUUCCAAAGAAGAACUGUAGCAUGAAUAUAUUUGGAAACUCCAUGAUUGUGCUAUACUGACCUUCAUUGCAACUGCAAUUUUUUUAUUUAUUUUUUUAUUCCCUCUCCUGUAUUUUAGAGCUUUUCUUACCUAGCUGCAUCUAUUCAGGUAAUGGAAAAAUAUUAUUUCUUUAUAAUUAAGUUCAAUAUGUCUGCAGCCUAGAUAGACUGUAUUUACAGGGCUGGCUCUUUCUGCAUGUAGCAAGGGCUGCUUUACCAGAAGUCUAAUCCUGAAUCAGUAGGAAUGGUGGCAUUAAAUUAAAUGGGAGCAGGAUCACACCAUGCAUUAUUUUAGCCAAGCUCGCAUGCCACAAAGAAAUGUGUUGAAACAUCUAUUUAAAUAAAAAAAAAAAGAGAAACAUACGGUUAAAUAAUUAAUGGGAAUCACAAAACACCUACACAGGAUAGUGGGAAGCAUAGAAAUCCUCAUACACGUAUUUGAAGUUACACCACAGAUUUCUUGGGUGUUUUCCUUUUUUGCUCUGCUAU
Long non-coding RNA from Lagopus leucura (white-tailed ptarmigan), 1213 nucleotides. RefSeq lists it as uncharacterized. The record is from RefSeq and is a predicted model, not a curated record. The transcript is spliced from 3 exons. NCBI's taxonomy places the organism in Eukaryota, Metazoa, Chordata, Aves, Galliformes, Phasianidae.